RNAcentral lists this long non-coding RNA (333 nucleotides) under Helianthus annuus (common sunflower). RNAcentral describes it as "hypothetical non coding rna". Lineage: Eukaryota; Viridiplantae; Streptophyta; Magnoliopsida; Asterales; Asteraceae. The record is from RNAcentral.
GACAAGUUGGUGAAACAACUUUGAAUGAUACCCGUUCUCGAUCACAUCAGAUAAUAAGACUGACGAUAGGGAGCACAGUUCGGGAUACUUCAGACUGCGUGAGGUCCAUUGUUUCAAGCCUUGUAUAUUUUGAUAUUUACCUGAAGCAUAUAUGAUACUCAAUGUUGAAUCGUACGUUUGCGAAAUUUGAUCAGCGUUUGUGAAGGUAAAACAUAUAAUUAAAUGCUCUCUGUUGUUUCAGGAAUUCAUAUCAACUACCUGAUGUUCUUGAUUCUUAACUGUUUGGGGAUAUACCAGCAGCAGCUACCGCGGAGGAUAUUGAUAUUGCUGUGA